CAUAAGACCUUCAUUCCAGAGAGUCCUGCUUCCUUCUCUGGAGGAAGCAACCCUGCACAGAGGGAAAGAAGAAUCUCAACAUACAGUCCUCAGCAGCUUUAGCAUGGGCAACAAAUUAAGUCUCUGUAAAAGGCCCAAAGGACAGGGUUUGGUGAGAUUCUGGAGAGCUGGAAACAUGGAGGUUGACAGGAAUGUAAAGAAGAACUCAUUUACAUGCCAGGAGGGUGGAACACCCCAAUUCCAUGAGGAUAACUGCUCCUGUACUCCAGACCUCACCCCAUGUGUCUCUUCAUCUGGCUGGUUAUUUGUCCUUUAAGAUCUCCUUACUCAACCAGUAAAUGUGUCUUUACAUUGUUUUAGUCUUGAACUAGAAGAUGAAAGCAUCAAAUAAAGAAAUAUACUGUGGGUAUAUGGAUUACAAAAAAAGGUACUCUUAUAAGGAAUAGAGGAGAAGAGAAAAGAAGAGAAGACAAGAGAAGAGAAAGAGAAGAUUGCAAGAAGGGAAGACAAGAGAAGAGAAAGAGAAAGAGAAGAAGACAAGAGAAGAGAAAGAGAAAGAGAAGAUGCGAAAUAGACGCAUGCAUUUAUUGAAUUUUAAUUUAUGACAGAAGUAGCAUAGUCAAUAACUGAGGAGUGGAAGGACAAUAUAAUCAGAUAAAUUGAAAAAUGCUUAUUGACAUGGAAAUAUCAAAGGAAAAAUAUACCAUGUGCCCACUGAUAAAAAAUAAAUGGAAUAUUCAUGAAAGGUCCCAAUUACUGUUACAAUAAUUUUUUAAAUAAUUAGGCAUUUGGAUUUUAUGUGCUUUUUGAUUUGAGUAGUUUAAAGUGUUUUAAAUAACAUUAAAUAUUAUUAUAAUUAUAAUAAUUAUUAUUUUUGAGACCGAGUCAUCUUGCUCUAUUGCCCAGGCUCUAGUUCAGUGGUGCGAUCUCAACUCACUGCAACCUCCGCCUCCUAGGUUCAAGUGAAUCUCAUGCCUCAGCCUCCUGAGUAACUGGGACUACAGGCAUGUUCCACUACACCUGGAUAAUUUUUGUGUUUUUGUAGUAGAGACUGGGUUUCUCCAUGUUGGCCAGGCUGGUCUUGAACUCCUGACCUCAAGUGAUAUGCUUGCAUUGACCUCCCAAAGUGCUGAGAUUCCAGGUGUGAGCCACUGCACCCGGUCCAUUAAAUAUUAUUUUAAUUAUAUUAGGUCAAAUAUUUUUGUUUCUUUCCUGAAUUUUAACACUAUUUAGAAUGAGUACAUAGUUGUUAGCUAAUAAAAUCUGUAGUUCAAAAAUUAUUUUGUGACUUACUGAGCAUUUCACUUGAUCAAUUUUUAUAAAUGUUUCAUGAUCUCUUAAAAAGAAAUGUAAGUAGCAUGUUAUAGUAGUAUCUUCCGUCAUCAUAAUAGUAUGUUCUAUAUGUAUCAUGUGUCAUACUUCUGUCAUUUUUGUUUUAUUAGUGCUUUGCUUAUUUCACAGAUUCUGCUUUUGUUUAUUUGUUUCUUAAUAAACUUUCUAAAUCUGCUAGUUUGGGAGGUUUCGACUUUCAUAUUGGUGCACAUUUAACUUUAUAUAAUAUGCUUGAUCAUCUAUUUACUGAUGCAUAGACUUCAGAGAGUGUCUUCUCUUAACUAUCCACUUUGAUCGAUGAAAAAAUAACGACCACUCCUGAUUUUAGUAGUUUUGUUGGUUUUCAUAUAUAUGAAAUGCUACUGUAUGAAUAAAAAUCAAAUGUAGAUCUAUUUUUCUAUUGUUUCUUCCCCAGUGAUACUUUUCAGAUAAGAAUAUGGGCAAAUAAUGAUUGCAGAUUCCAUCUUUGGUUUUAUUCUUUUUGCUAAACAUUUUAUUCUGAGGUAUAGCUGGUCAAUUCGAUAGCUCAUGAUCUUAAAAAUGUCUUUGUAUUCUAUUUCUUUUUUUUUUUAAAUUCAAUUAUUUAGCCUCAUUGACUACAUCAUUCCUCCAGGCAGAAGGUGCAAAAGACAGCAAAACUUGAGGACUUUCACCAAGGAUGUGCUAGGAGGGGACGUGGGAAAUGGAUUAUUCCUUGAACAUUUUCCCUGGGCCAUUCUCUUCCUUUUUUAUUUUUGUUCUGGUUACAUGGGGCUUUCAAGACUC
This 2097-nucleotide long non-coding RNA is filed under the name Homo sapiens (human). Its description in RNAcentral is "HSALNT0319894". The record is from RNAcentral. Lineage: Eukaryota; Metazoa; Chordata; Mammalia; Primates; Hominidae.